RNAcentral lists this ribosomal RNA (253 nucleotides) under uncultured bacterium. Its description in RNAcentral is "partial 16S ribosomal RNA". It matches the Rfam family "Bacterial small subunit ribosomal RNA", at positions 524 to 776 of the family's 1533-position model. The record is from RNAcentral.
UACAGAGGUCCCAAGCGUUGUUCGGAUUCACUGGGCGUAAAGGGUGCGUAGGCGGUCGGGUAAGUCUGAUGUGAAAUCUCACAGCUUAACUGUGAAACUGCAUUGGAUACUAUCCGGCUCGAGGAAUGGAGGGGAGACUGGAAUACUUGGUGUAGCAGUGAAAUGCGUAGAUAUCAAGUGGAACACCAGUGGCGAAGGCGAGUCUCUGGACAUUUCCUGACGCUGAGGCACGAAAGCCAGGGGAGCGAACCGG